This 490-nucleotide ribosomal RNA is filed under the name uncultured bacterium. Its description in RNAcentral is "partial 16S ribosomal RNA". It matches the Rfam family "Bacterial small subunit ribosomal RNA", at positions 30 to 507 of the family's 1533-position model. The record is from RNAcentral.
AUUGAACGUUGGCGGCAGGCCUAACACAUGCAAGUCGAACGGUAACAGGAAGCAGCUUGCUGCUUCGCUGACGAGUGGCGGACGGGUGAGGAAUGUCUGGGAAACUGCCUGAUGGAGGGGGAUAACUACUGGAAACGGUAGCUAAUACCGCAUAACGUCGCAAGACCAAAGAGGGGGACCUUAGGGCCUCUUGCCAUCGGAUGUGCCCAGAUGGGAUUAGCUAGUAGGUGGGGUCACGGCUCACCUAGGCGACGAUCCCUAGCUGGUCUGAGAGGAUGACCAGGCACACUGGAACUGAGACACGGUCCAGACUCCUACGCGAGGCAGCAGUGGGGAAUAUUGCGCAAUGGGGGCAAGCCUGAUGCAGCCAAGCCGCGUGUAUGAAGAAGGACUUCGGGUUGUAAAAUACUUUCAGCGGGGAGGAAGGGAGUAACGUUAAUACCUUCGCUCAUUGACGUUACCCGCAGAAGAAGCACCGGCUAACUCCGUG